GGGGCGGAGUAGCCAA
This 16-nucleotide transfer RNA is filed under the name Aniba rosaeodora. RNAcentral describes it as "partial tRNA-His". Lineage: Eukaryota; Viridiplantae; Streptophyta; Magnoliopsida; Laurales; Lauraceae. The record is from RNAcentral.